GUGACAGAAGAGAGUGAGCACAGAUGGGCUUUCUUGCAUGAUAUUAGAUGGAGAUAUAGCAAAUACAAGGUUUCGUAUGCUUGAAGCCAUGUGUGCUCACUCUCUAUCUGUCAU
This 114-nucleotide microRNA precursor is filed under the name Helianthus annuus (common sunflower). RNAcentral describes it as "mir-156 microRNA precursor family". It matches the Rfam family "mir-156 microRNA precursor family". From Rfam's summary of the family: This family represents the plant microRNA (miRNA) precursor mir-156. Animal miRNAs are transcribed as ~70nt precursors and subsequently processed by the Dicer enzyme to give a ~22nt product. Lineage: Eukaryota; Viridiplantae; Streptophyta; Magnoliopsida; Asterales; Asteraceae. The record is from Rfam by way of RNAcentral.